RNAcentral lists this ribosomal RNA (253 nucleotides) under uncultured bacterium. Its description in RNAcentral is "partial 16S ribosomal RNA". It matches the Rfam family "Bacterial small subunit ribosomal RNA", at positions 524 to 776 of the family's 1533-position model. The record is from RNAcentral.
CACGAACCGUACGAACGUUAUUCGGAAUUACUGGGCUUAAAGGGUUUGUAGGCGGCCAUGUAAGUGGGGUGUGAAAGCCCUCGGCUCAACCGAGGAAUAGCGCUCCAAACUGUAUGGCUUGAGGGAGACAGGGGUAAGCGGAACUGAUGGUGGAGCGGUGAAAUGCGUUGAUAUCAUCAGGAACACCGGUGGCGAAAGCGGCUUACUGGGUCUCUUCUGACGCUGUGAAACGAAAGCUAGGGUAGCGAACGGG